CCUACGGGCGGCAGCAGUGGGGAAUAUUGGACAAUGGGCGAAAGCCUGAUCCAGCCAUGCCGCGUGUGUGAAGAAGGCCUUCGGGUUGUAAAGCACUUUCAGUGGGGAAGAAAGCCUUGGGGCUAAUACCCUCGAGGAAGGACAUCACCCACAGAAGAAGCACCGGCUAACUCCGUGCCAGCAGCCGCGGUAAUACGGAGGGUGCGAGCGUUAAUCGGAAUUACUGGGCGUAAAGCGCGCGUAGGCGGUCGUGAUAAGCCGGUUGUGAAAGCCCCGGGCUCAACCUGGGAACGGCAUCCGGAACUGUCAGGCUAGAGUGCAGGAGAGGAAGGUAGAAUUCCCGGUGUAGCGGUGAAAUGCGUAGAGAUCGGGAGGAAUACCAGUGGCGAAGGCGGCCUUCUGGACUGACACUGACGCUGAGGUGCGAAAGCGUGGGUAGCAAACAGGAUUAGAUACCCGGGUAGUC
Molecule: ribosomal RNA, 466 nt
Filed under: Vreelandella stevensii
Lineage: Bacteria; Pseudomonadati; Pseudomonadota; Gammaproteobacteria; Oceanospirillales; Halomonadaceae
Description: partial 16S ribosomal RNA
Rfam family: Bacterial small subunit ribosomal RNA
Source: RNAcentral